CCCUUAGAUGUUCUGGGCCGCACGCGCGCUACACUGAUGCAUUCAACGAGUUUCUUCCUGGUCCGAGAGGAAUGGGUAACCUUUUGAAAGUGCAUCGUGAUAGGGAUAGACUAUUGCAAUUAUUGGUCUUCAACGAGGAAUUCCUAGUAGACGUAGUUCAUCAGACUGCAUCGAUUACGUCCCUGCCCUUUGUACACACCGCCCGUCGCUCCUACCGAUUGAAUGCUCAGGUGAGCCAUUCGGACUUUCAUCAUGCUGGUUUCCAGUUUUGAUGAAGGAAAGUCUUGCGAACCUUAUCACUUAGAGGAAGGAGGAGUCGUAACA
This 324-nucleotide ribosomal RNA is filed under the name uncultured eukaryote. RNAcentral's name for it is "partial 18S ribosomal RNA". It matches the Rfam family "Eukaryotic small subunit ribosomal RNA", at positions 1470 to 1796 of the family's 1831-position model. The record is from RNAcentral.